UACAGAGGUCCCAAGCGUUGUUCGGAUUCACUGGGCGUAAAGAGUGUGUAGGCGGUGUUCUAAGUCUGUUGUGAAAUCUCCCGGCUUAACUGGGAGGGUGCGGCGGAAACUGGAAUGCUAGAGGAUGGGAGAGGUAAGCGGAAUUCCUGGUGUAGCGGUGAAAUGCGUAGAUAUCAGGAGGAACACCUGUGGUGUAGACAGCUUACUGGACCAUUUCUGACGCUGAGACACGAAAGCGUGGGUAGCAAACAGG
This 253-nucleotide ribosomal RNA is filed under the name uncultured bacterium. RNAcentral's name for it is "partial 16S ribosomal RNA". It matches the Rfam family "Bacterial small subunit ribosomal RNA", at positions 524 to 776 of the family's 1533-position model. The record is from RNAcentral.